GCGGUCGUGGCGCAAUGGCAGACGCGCUAGGUUGAGGGCCUAGUGGGAGAAAUCCCGUGGAGGUUCAAGUCCUCUCGGCCGCA
This 83-nucleotide transfer RNA is filed under the name Staphylococcus aureus. Its description in RNAcentral is "tRNA-Leu". It matches the Rfam family "tRNA". From Rfam's summary of the family: Transfer RNA (tRNA) molecules are approximately 80 nucleotides in length. Their secondary structure includes four short double-helical elements and three loops (D, anti-codon, and T loops). The record is from RNAcentral. Lineage: Bacteria; Bacillati; Bacillota; Bacilli; Caryophanales; Staphylococcaceae.